This 30-nucleotide small RNA is filed under the name Bombyx mori (domestic silkworm). Its description in RNAcentral is "ovarian small RNA-4929". The record is from RNAcentral. Lineage: Eukaryota; Metazoa; Arthropoda; Insecta; Lepidoptera; Bombycidae.
CUACGGAUAGCAUCUGCGAACGAUCGCAGA